GAGCGGAAACGAGUUAUCUGAACCUUCGGGGAACGAUAACGGCGUCGAGCGGCGGACGGGUGAGUAAUGCCUAGGAAAUUGCCUUGAUGUGGGGGAUAACCAUUGGAAACGAUGGCUAAUACCGCAUGAUGCCUACGGGCCAAAGAGGGGGACCUUCGGGCCUCUCGCGUCAAGAUAUGCCUAGGUGGGAUUAGCUAGUUGGUGAGGUAAUGGCUCACCAAGGCGACGAUCCCUAGCUGGUCUGAGAGGAUGAUCAGCCACACUGGAACUGAGACACGGUCCAGACUCCUACGGGAGGCAGCAGUGGGGAAUAUUGCACAAUGGGGCGCAAGCCUGAUGCAGCCAUGCCGCGUGUAUGAAGAAGGCCUUCGGGUUGUAAAGUACUUUCAGCAGUGAGGAAGGGGGUGUCGUUAAUAGCGGCAUCUCUUGACGUUAGCUGCAGAAGA
Molecule: ribosomal RNA, 446 nt
Filed under: Vibrio sp. 3DA6(2010)
Lineage: Bacteria; Pseudomonadati; Pseudomonadota; Gammaproteobacteria; Vibrionales; Vibrionaceae
Description: bacterial SSU rRNA
Rfam family: Bacterial small subunit ribosomal RNA
Source: RNAcentral